Molecule: long non-coding RNA, 424 nt
Organism: Pelmatolapia mariae (spotted tilapia)
Lineage: Eukaryota; Metazoa; Chordata; Actinopteri; Cichliformes; Cichlidae
Exons: 3
Source: RefSeq, a predicted model, not a curated record
CUCUCCACCCCUCUUCUUCUAUUGCUCAGGUUGAAGCAGAAUUUGCCCGUCUUACAUCUGUUGACCUGAAAGGGUUCCUUUUUGCUGUGCUUGACCAUUAUGGAGAGGUUCGUGAAGCUGUACAAAAUCAAGAGCGGCAUAGGAGGGCUAACUAGGCUCAUAAGAUGCUUCGGAGAUGAUAGCCCUACACAAAGGAAGAGGACAGAGGACCUCAUUUUCUAAAGGAAGAUCCCUCACACACUUUCAAGACUGUGAAGCCGACAGGUAUUGAAGACACGUUUUCUAAGAGGAUGAAAGUUGGCAUUGCGAUGGUGAAAGAAGAAGACAUCAUCGAUGUGUUGGUUGUCCUUGAGGCGGCAGUAAUCCUGUCUAAUCUGAGCGAUGUCUCAAGUGCCAUUUCCAUGCUGAUGGGCCUUCUUUUUGC